GGAGAUUAGUGAUACGGUGGUGCCUUCUUCACAACAGUUUGAACCAUCUGAAAAUGGAUGUAUAGGGAACACCAACGAGCUUAUUGAACAGAAUUUGCAAUGUUUAGAUCAGAUUUCUGCAAAUUUCAGAACCCCAAGGUUCAUGGACAACAUAGAGCUUUUCUACAAAAUCCGGAAGAACAUCAAUACCGUUAUCGCCAAUUUGAAAGAGAAUAUGUCGGAGACAAUGAAACGUAUGCCAUCAUUGCCGGAGAAGUUGAACGAGGACCUCUUAACUGCAAUGUUUCCUACAUCAAAUCUACCACCAUUAUGAUUGAAUUUGGUUCUUCUUUGGUUUUCUGUUGAUUCUUUCAGUUAUUAGGUUUUUUUUUUCUUUUCUUCUUGUUACCAACUUGGAACACAAGCUUUUAGACUUUUGUUAUCAGUUGAUUUAUUAAUCUAAUUAC
This is a non-coding RNA of Camelina sativa (false flax), 446 nucleotides long. NCBI's taxonomy places the organism in Eukaryota, Viridiplantae, Streptophyta, Magnoliopsida, Brassicales, Brassicaceae. The record is from RefSeq and is a predicted model, not a curated record.